RNAcentral lists this long non-coding RNA (571 nucleotides) under Mustela putorius furo (domestic ferret). RNAcentral's name for it is "lncRNA (ENSMPUG00000027922.1)". Lineage: Eukaryota; Metazoa; Chordata; Mammalia; Carnivora; Mustelidae. The record is from RNAcentral.
AUGCUCAACAUUGUCCCCAGGGCCUGCCUCACAGACUUAUUGCCACAAAAACAUCAAAAAUACAAAAUACAUUCAAAACGGAAACUCCUGAGACUCACCUGCCUUGGAGUGAUUGAAUCAGGACCUGUAGGGUGUGGUCCAGGUAUCUCUGACAAAAGGAAUUCUGAUGAGCAGACAUCCUGGGAAGUGGUGAGUUGAACUAUUUUUCAGUUAGGAGAAGUGGCUCUCUACAGGUUCAUGCAGGUAGAUGCUGUGAGAGUUAGAAAUAAAACCUGGACUUACCUUUUCUUAGUCUAGGCUUUUUCAGAUACACCACACUGUUGCACAUACGAAAAAAUUCGUGACAUAUUUCUUAGUUCUAGGCAACCUGUGGCGAUGUCAGUUCAAAUCCAUUACAAUCUAAAAUAGAAUUCUCUUCAAAGUCAGUUUAUAAAUUGUGUGAAAAAAAUCAUACAUUUUUGGCCCAGUGGCUUACUUAGAUUUUUUCUUUUAUUCUCUGUGGCCAGUGUUGACUCUAAAUGACAUUAGGUUUUAUCACAAUUCUAUCAUCAGAGGAUCCACUAUAGUCCUC